CACGUAGGAGACAAGCGUUAUCCGGAUUUACUGGGCGUAAAGCGCGUGCAGGCGGUUUGGAAAGUUGGAUGUGAAAGCUCCCGGCUUAACUGGGAGAGGUCAUUCAAAACUACCAGACUUGAGAGUGGUAGAGGAAGGUGGAAUUCCGGGUGUAGUGGUGAAAUGCGUAGAUAUCCGGAGGAACACCAGUGGCGAAAGCGGCCUUCUGGACCAUUUCUGACGCUCAGACGCGAAAGCUAGGGUAGCAAACGGG
RNAcentral lists this ribosomal RNA (253 nucleotides) under uncultured bacterium. RNAcentral's name for it is "partial 16S ribosomal RNA". It matches the Rfam family "Bacterial small subunit ribosomal RNA", at positions 524 to 776 of the family's 1533-position model. The record is from RNAcentral.